CUCAGACAGGGAGCUGACUGCUGCAGAAACGGCUGAGGAGAAGCAGCAGCAGAGGGCCCAGGAGCUGAGGGCAGGUCUGGGUACCCUGCUGGAUCUGGACUCCCUAGCGAGGACAUCAUGCAAGCAUUUGUGGUAGAGCGAGCUGACCCUUCCAUGUGGAGGAGAAGAGACACAGACAUGCACACAGAGGAAAGAUGAUGUGAAGACAGAGACACACAAGGAGAAACCAUGUGAUGACAGAGGCGGAGAUUGGAGUGACGCAUCUACAAGCCGAGGAAUGCCCGGGAUGGCCGGCAAUAGCAGAACGAGGCAUGGAGC
RNAcentral lists this long non-coding RNA (318 nucleotides) under Equus caballus (horse). Its description in RNAcentral is "lncRNA (ENSECAG00000059860.1)". The record is from RNAcentral. Lineage: Eukaryota; Metazoa; Chordata; Mammalia; Perissodactyla; Equidae.